This is a non-coding RNA of Dermatophagoides farinae (American house dust mite), 107 nucleotides long. NCBI's taxonomy places the organism in Eukaryota, Metazoa, Arthropoda, Arachnida, Sarcoptiformes, Pyroglyphidae. The record is from RefSeq and is a predicted model, not a curated record.
CAUCAAUCAAUCAAUUAUCAAUUAUGUAAUGUACGAUGAUGAUACAUACAUUUCCCGUUGGUUCAUCAUUAUCAUCAUCAUCAUCAACAUCAUCAUUAAUUGAACAA